GACUUCCUUCCUAUCCAAUCUAGGAAUGGCUUUGUUAAUGCAAGCCUACACACAAAUACCGGGCCUAUACAGGCUAGUUCUGCCAAGAUGGAAAAUAGGAGCAUGACUUCCAAAAAUGGCUUGAUUCUUCUGGAAGCAUAUGAGCCAGUCAUAUCUGUGGAGAAAGACAGUGACAAGAUCUGUCAAGCUUUCAAAGACUGUGUCAGCUAAGUCCCCUCCUGUUCCCUGAUUAAGAGGUGAUGACUACUCCACUCCACUCCACUACCAUUGUCAACUUUCUCCUGACAUGAACAGAAGCCACAGCGUCUCAUGUGCCCGCUCAUCCACUGGCACAUUGAAUGUUUCCCCUCAAAGCACUUUUGUCUUACCAGUCAAAUCCUGUCCUGCACUGGUCAAGCCUCUGAACACCUCAAUUUAUGCCUCAUGCCCUCAUUCAGUCACUGCUGUGAUCCCUUUCCAACACUGUAAGUAGCCCUUGCAUUCCCAAUAAUAUUGUACUUUAAAUGUCUUUAUUAAAUGCUUCAGGUUAAAGUACACGUUUUUGAAAUACAGUUUAUAGUCUCUGUGCAUUCCACGCCUAUACUGUGGGUCUCCCAUCCUCCUCAAUUGUUCAAGUCACCAGCCUCAACUGCUAUGGACGCAACCCAGUUGUUCGAUCUAAAUGUUCCAUUGCCAUACUGGCUGGCAACGUUCUUAUCCCUUGCUUGCUAGCUAGCAAACUAUGGCUAACUUAGUCACAUCAAACAGUGCAGCCAGAUUAACACCAAAGCAGCUGCAUUUGCAUUUGUUAAGCUGUUUUCUAUUGACAUUUCGUUGUAUAUAUCCCUAAAAAUGAUGCCAGUUGUUUCAUGAUUUCAAUUGGCUGAGAAAAGCUGCCUGUCUCAUCCCGAAUCGUUCAUUAAUAUGGGACAUCUGGAGAUCGAAUUUCAAUAUUGAAACAAUGUUGCAAAUGACGGAGAGACAGGCAGCAAGGUUUAUACACUGUCUCCGCUGUUGAAAACCAAAUGCUUGUCUAAAUGUCUAGAUACUUUUUAAAGUGGAGAUCAAGUUUAUAAAUUGCCUUGCUGGGCUGAUGAGACUGUGGAUUGCGCAGUGAUAUGGAUAUGGAGUCCAUAGGCAUUUCAACAACAUAGCUUUAGCCAGUGGGAAUUUGUGGAAUAGACACUGUCUGGAAUGCAGUUUUAACCAAUCAGCAUCCAGAAAUAGACCCACUCGUUGUAUAAUUAAGCAAUUAGGCCCGAGGAGGUGUAGUAUAUGGCCAAUAUACCACGGCUAAGGGCUGUUCUUAUGCACGACGCAACAUUCCUGAACCCAGCCGUUAGCCGUGGUAUAUUGGCCAUCUACCACAAACCCAGAGGUGCCUUAUUGCUAUUAUAAACUAGUUACCAAUGUGAUUAGAGCAGUAAAAAUACAUUUUUCUUCAUACUUAUGGUAUACGGACUGAUAUACCACAGCUGUCUGCCAAUCAGCAUUCAGGGCUCGAACCACCCAGUUUAUAAUGAUGCAUAUCCACUCAGACCAAAUACACGCUCCUUGUACUUUCCAAAGAUCUCCUAAGGGUUGUUCCAUGUCAUUUCAGCAAGCCAUGAAACCCACAAUCUCAAAUAGUUCUGAAAUCAUUUCUGUAGUUAGAAACAGAUAAGAUAAGCAUUUCUGCAACAUUCCUUUGUUGAAAAAUAUAUUUUUCUCUGAGAAAUGAAGCUAAUUGAUUGCACCCAAACUGGCCAUUUUAAUAUAUAGGAUUCAUAUAUUAUUCAAUAAUUAUAGUACUAACAUCUGAUUUGGACCAAACUUUUUUUGCUAACAAUGAGUAAGACAUUUUACAUUUAAGUCAUUUAGCAGAUGUUCUUACAGUAUGGAGUGCAUACACUUUCAUACCUUUUUCCCUGUGGGAAUCGAGUCCACAACCCUGACGAUGCAAGCGCCAUGUUCUACCAACUGAGCUACACGGGACCACAUGAGGAACCCAAAGAAUUGCAAAAACCCACACACAGACCUCCCCGUACCCCACACCAAACCGACCCCAACAUUGAGUAUAUAGUAUCAGUUCUCUAUGUUUGACAAGUAGUCUGGAGCAGUGGCCCUGAGUAUUGUUUCUUCAUCCUAUCUAAUUCUUCCCCUGUUCAUAGAAAUUAAUAAUUGAAGUUAUGUUUAUGCCCCAUUCUACAUCCUCAUAUUACCAGGUUCUGACCACUACAUGGUGCUGUUCCUGUUAUUAGGUGAUUGUUUUUAAAGAACCCCGCCCCAUGUUAAAGAGGUAGUUCACCAAAAUUACAAAAAAAUAAAAUGUUGUUUUCUUAUCCUAUCCUUAACCUAUUCUUAUCUAUGGACGAGGUAUGACAAAAACCCACACUUUGGUUAUGUUUACCUGGCCACUGUUUCAAAAGCAAACUUUUUAGCAAUUGUGGCACAUCCAAUGCAAGUCAAUUGUACCUAAAUAAGCAUUUUUGCGCUUCAUAUCCAAAUCAUCUAUAAGUAACAGAAACCAAGGGGUGCAAGUUUUUUUUUCUGUAUCGCAAGAAUACAUUUACACCAUAGAUCCAUAUAUAAUGACGAGAUGCUCAUGUCUCCGCCCCAAACAACGGGAAUGGUUGUCCCAAAGGCAGGAAGGCAGGCGACAAGCUUAGGUCCCAAAUAAACCCAUAGAAACGCAUUGGGAUUACUUUGGACAGAUGAUUUUGGCGAGGGAAAGCUCUCCCUGCCACUCAAACAACAAAUAUGAGAGAUCACUUCUUUGGCAAACGGUUUCAACUUGCCAUUUGCAUUUGAGGAUUGGUCCAACAGAAUCAGUCAUAUUGACACAAGCACAUUGAGAUAUUUUACUGUAAUAGAGAAGUUAACCUUUCUAACAAUAAUAAUAUAAUAAUAAUAAAUUACAAUAACAAUAACCUUUAAUGUCUCAACUCUUCAAAUUACACGAAGAGCAGGAACCACUAGAACAUAAUGAACAGUGAUUCUGGAAAAUUGCUCAGUUUAUUGUGCGCACAGCUUGCGGCAUUUUAGCCAAAGAUUGUUAUACUAGCUGUCUAGUCUGUGUUUUAUAAAAUGUACAAUAAUAAAACACAAUUAUAUAAGGAAUUGGUAACUCAUUCUCAUGCUAAGAAAUAAGGUUGGCCACUUGAUUUCAACAUCUGAACAAAGUGGACAGGCUAGCUGUUCAAACAGUCGGAGACAGUCGGAGAUUGUUCUGCCUUGUUAGGUAGCAAAUAGAUCCAAGUUGGCUUAACUUGAAAAAUAAAGAUUAGCUGGCCACUCACUAGCACGUAGGCUUGUGCUUGAGAGAUUGUUUAUGAGACCUGUGUUAAUUUUCUAUAAUGCCUACUACAAGAAGUUAUGCAUACUCCUCCUUCACAUACAACACCCAUUCUGCCACCCACAUUCUGUUAAUUAAAGGUUCCCAAAGCACACACAUCCCUGGGUUCUCCAUCUCUUCAUUCAAAGACUCAAUCUUACUGACAGUUGUGGCUGCUUCGCGUGAUGUAUUGUUGUCUCUACUUUCUUGACCUUUGUGCGGUUGUCUGU
Molecule: long non-coding RNA, 3522 nt
Organism: Oncorhynchus gorbuscha (pink salmon)
Lineage: Eukaryota; Metazoa; Chordata; Actinopteri; Salmoniformes; Salmonidae
Exons: 3
Source: RefSeq, a predicted model, not a curated record